AACGCACCUUGCGCUCCUUGGCAUUCCGAGGAGCAUGCCUGUUUGAGUGUCAUUAAAUCAUCAACCACCUCAUCUUUGAGAGGGUUGGACUUGGAGGUUCUGCUGGCCCCGUCCGGGACCGGCUCCUCUGAAAAGCAUUAGCAGGGGCCCAUCUUGUGCGAUCUGCAGCCUUGUGUGAUAGUCAUCUACACUCGGCUUGGUUGCAUUGUACCCAGCUUCCAGUCGUCCACUUGUGGACAAUUCACCUGACCAAUUGACCUCAAAUCAGGUAGGACUACCCGCUGAACUUAA
RNAcentral lists this unclassified non-coding RNA (291 nucleotides) under uncultured fungus. RNAcentral's name for it is "partial contains 5.8S ribosomal RNA, internal transcribed spacer 2, and large subunit ribosomal RNA". The stretch from base 1 to 52 matches the Rfam family "5.8S ribosomal RNA", at positions 103 to 154 of the family's 154-position model. Lineage: Eukaryota; Fungi. The record is from RNAcentral.